AUACGUAGGCGGCAAGCGUUGUCCGGAAUUAUUGGACGUAAAGGGAGCGCAGGCGGAUGACUAAGCGGAUCUUAAAAGUGCGGGGCUUAACCCCCGUGAUGGGAUUCGAACUGGUUAUCUUGAGUGCAGGAGAGGAAAGCGGAAUUCCCAGUGUAGCGGUGAAAUGCGUAGAUAUUGGGAAGAACACCAGUGGCGAAGGCGGCUUUCUGGACUGUAACUGACGCUGAGGCUCGAAAGCC
Molecule: ribosomal RNA, 239 nt
Filed under: uncultured bacterium
Lineage: Bacteria
Description: partial 16S ribosomal RNA
Rfam family: Bacterial small subunit ribosomal RNA
Source: RNAcentral